RNAcentral lists this ribosomal RNA (389 nucleotides) under Odorrana livida (green cascade frog). Its description in RNAcentral is "partial 12S ribosomal RNA". It matches the Rfam family "Bacterial small subunit ribosomal RNA", at positions 794 to 1394 of the family's 1533-position model. The record is from RNAcentral. Lineage: Eukaryota; Metazoa; Chordata; Amphibia; Anura; Ranidae.
GCCCAGCCGUAAACAAUUAACUUACAUCUACAACCGCCGGGGAAUUACGAGCUACGCUUAAAACCCAAAGGAUUUGACGGUGUCCCACCCCCCUAGAGGAGCCUGUUCUAUAAUCGAUAAUCCCCGCUAUACCCAACCACCUCUCGCUAUUCAGUCUGUAUACCUCCGUCGAAAGCUUACCAUGUGAACGCCUACAGUAAGUACAAUGGCUACCAACGUCAACACGUCAGGUCAAGGUGCAGCUUAAGUGGUGGAAAGUAAUUGGCUACAAUUUCUAACCUAGAACAAACGGAAGGCUAUGUGAAACCAUAGUUCUGAAGGCGGAUUUAGUAGUAAAAAGAAAAUAGAGCGUUCUUUUUAACCCGGCUCUGGGACGCGUACACACCGCC